RNAcentral lists this ribosomal RNA (253 nucleotides) under uncultured bacterium. Its description in RNAcentral is "partial 16S ribosomal RNA". It matches the Rfam family "Bacterial small subunit ribosomal RNA", at positions 524 to 776 of the family's 1533-position model. The record is from RNAcentral.
UACGUAGGGCGCAAGCGUUGUCCGGAAUUAUUGGGCGUAAAGAGCUCGUAGGCGGCUUGUCACGUCGGGUGUGAAAGCCCGGGGCUUAACCCCGGGUCUGCAUUCGAUACGGGCUAGCUAGAGUGUGGUAGGGGAGAUCGGAAUUCCUGGUGUAGCGGUGAAAUGCGCAGAUAUCAGGAGGAACACCGGUGGCGAAGGCGGAUCUCUGGGCCAUUACUGACGCUGAGGAACGAAAGCGUGGGGAGCGAACAGG